GUCCACGCCCUAAACGAUGUCUACUAGUUGUUGGUGGAGUAAAAUCCAUGAGUAACGCAGCUAACGCGUGAAGUAGACCGCCUGGGGAGUACGAUCGCAAGAUUAAAACUCAAAUGAAUUGACGGGGGCCCCGCACAAGCGGUGGAUUAUGUGGAUUAAUUCGAUGCAACGCGAAAAACCUUACCUGGCCUUGACAUGUACCGAAUUUACCAGAGAUGGUUUAGUGCUCGAAAGAGAACGGUAACACAGGUGCUGCAUGGCUGUCGU
Molecule: ribosomal RNA, 267 nt
Filed under: uncultured bacterium
Lineage: Bacteria
Description: partial 16S ribosomal RNA
Rfam family: Bacterial small subunit ribosomal RNA
Source: RNAcentral